Molecule: ribosomal RNA, 480 nt
Filed under: uncultured Stichotrichia
Lineage: Eukaryota; Ciliophora; Spirotrichea
Description: partial Bacterial large subunit ribosomal RNA
Rfam family: Bacterial large subunit ribosomal RNA
Source: RNAcentral
GACGGAGAAGGCUAAGCUGGCCGGAUAUUGGUUACCGGUUUAAACGUUCGAGAUGAUGAGAAACGGCGAAAACGUUUUGAGUUGAGGCGUGAGUACGAGAUGCUACGGCAUUGAAGCAGUCUAUGUCAUACUUCCAAGAAAAGCUUGCACUGUCAUAAACAAAUAAUGCCUGUACCAUAACCGACACAGGUGGGUAGGUAGAGUAUACUAAGGGGCGCGAGAUAACUCUCUCUAAGGAACUCGGCAAAAUGACUCCGUAACUUCGGGAGAAGGAGUGCCUUAUUUAUAAGGUUGCAAUAACAAGAUCCAAGCAACUGUUUAUCAAAAACACAGGUCUCCGCUAAGUCGUAAGACGAUGUAUGGGGGCUGACGCCUGCCCAGUGCCAGAAGGUUAAAGAAGUUGGUUAGCAUUAGCGAAGCUGAUAACUGAAGCCCUGGUGAACGGCGGCCGUAACGAUAACGGUCCUAAGGUAGCGAAAU